CCUACGGGAGGCAGCAGUGGGGAAUAUUGCACAAUGGGGGAAACCCUGAUGCAGCGACGCCGCGUGCGUGAAGAAGUAUUUCGGUAUGUAAAGCUCUGUCAGCAGGGAAGAAAAUGACGGUACCUGACCAAGAAGCCCCGUCUAACUACGUGCCAGCAGCCGCGGUAAUACGUAGGGGGCCAGCGUUAUCCGGAUGUACUGGGGGUCAAGGGUACGUAGGCGGCAGGGCAAGUCUGGAGGGAAAGGCGGGGGGUACACCCCCGGACUGCUCUGGAAACUGCCAGGCUGGAGUGGAGGAGAGGUAAGUGGAAUUCCCAGUGUAGCGGUGAAAUGCGUAGAUAUUAGGCGGAACACCAGUGGCGAAGGCGGCUUACUGGACUGUAACUGACGUUGAGGCUCGAAAGCGUGGGGAGCAAACAGGAUUAGAUACCCGUGUAGUC
RNAcentral lists this ribosomal RNA (440 nucleotides) under uncultured bacterium. Its description in RNAcentral is "partial 16S ribosomal RNA". It matches the Rfam family "Bacterial small subunit ribosomal RNA", at positions 338 to 795 of the family's 1533-position model. The record is from RNAcentral.